CAAGUCGAACGAUGAAGUUCCUUCGGGAAUGGAUUAGUGGCGAACGGGUGAGGAACACGUGAGAAACCUGCCUUUCAUUCUGGGAUAACACCGGGAAACCGGUGCUAAUACCGGAUACUCCGUCUUGGCGGCAUCGCCGAGCCGGGAAAAAAUUUUGAUGAAAGAUGGUCUCGCGGCCUAUCAGCUAGUUGGUGAGGUAAUGGCUCACCAAGGCGACGACGGGUAGCCGGCCUGAGAGGGCGACCGGCCACACUGGGACUGAGACACGGCCCAGACUCCUACGGGAGGCAGCAGUAGGGAAUAUUGGGCAAUGGGCGCAAGCCUGACCCAGCGACGCCGCGUGAGGGAUGAAGGUCUUCGGAUUGUAAACCUCUUUCAGUAGGGAAGAAGCGAAAGUGACGGUACCUAAAGAAGAAGCACCGGCUAACUAUGUGCCAGCAGCCGCGGUAAUACAUAGGGUGCAAGCGUUGUCCGGAAUUAUUGGGCGUAAAGAGCUCGUAGGUCGUUCGUCGCGUCGAUUGUGAAAAUCUGAGGCUCAACCUCAGACCUGCAGUCGAUACGGGCAAACUAGAGUGUGGUAGGGGAGACUGGAAUUCCUGGUGUAGCGGUGGAAUGCGCAGAUAUCAGGAGGAACACCAAUGGCGAAGGCAGGUCUCUGGGCCAUAACUGACACUGAGGAGCGAAAGUGCGGGGAGCGAACAGGAUUAGAUACCCUGGUAGUCCGCACCGUAAACGGUGGGCACUAGUUGUGGGAACCUUCCACGGUUUCCGCGACGCAGCAAACGCAUUAAGUGCCCCGCCUGGGGAGUACGAUCGCAAGAUUAAAACUCAAAGGAAUUGACGG
This 844-nucleotide ribosomal RNA is filed under the name uncultured bacterium. RNAcentral describes it as "bacterial SSU rRNA". It matches the Rfam family "Bacterial small subunit ribosomal RNA", at positions 58 to 916 of the family's 1533-position model. The record is from RNAcentral.